This 761-nucleotide ribosomal RNA is filed under the name uncultured Prevotella sp. Its description in RNAcentral is "bacterial SSU rRNA". It matches the Rfam family "Bacterial small subunit ribosomal RNA", at positions 8 to 756 of the family's 1533-position model. Lineage: Bacteria; Pseudomonadati; Bacteroidota; Bacteroidia; Bacteroidales; Prevotellaceae. The record is from RNAcentral.
AGAGUUUGAUCCUGGCUCAGGGUGAACGCUAGCUACAGGCUUAACACAUGCAAGUCGAGGGGAAACGAUAGAGAAAGCUUGCUUUUUCUAGGCGUCGACCGGCGCACGGGUGAGUAACGCGUAUCCAACCUGCCCAUCACUUGGGGAUAACCUUGCGAAAGUAAGACUAAUACCCAAUGACGUCUCUAGAAGACAUCUGAAAGAGAUUAAAGAUUUAUCGGUGAUGGAUGGGGAUGCGUCUGAUUAGCUUGUUGGCGGGGUAACGGCCCACCAAGGCGACGAUCAGUAGGGGUUCUGAGAGGAAGGUCCCCCACAUUGGAACUGAGACACGGUCCAAACUCCUACGGGAGGCAGCAGUGAGGAAUAUUGGUCAAUGGACGAGAGUCUGAACCAGCCAAGUAGCGUGCAGGAAGACGGCCCUAUGGGUUGUAAACUGCUUUUAUAAGGGAAUAAAGUGAGUCUCGUGAGACUUUUUGCAUGUACCUUAUGAAUAAGGACCGGCUAAUUCCGUGCCAGCAGCCGCGGUAAUACGGAAGGUCCGGGCGUUAUCCGGAUUUAUUGGGUUUAAAGGGAGCGUAGGCCGGAGAUUAAGCGUGUUGUGAAAUGUAGACGCUCAACGUCUGCACUGCAGCGCGAACUGGUUUCCUUGAGUACGCACAAAGUGGGCGGAAUUCGUGGUGUAGCGGUGAAAUGCUUAGAUAUCACGAAGAACUCCGAUUGCGAAGGCAGCUCACUGGAGCGCAACUGACGCUGAAGCUCGA